Molecule: unclassified non-coding RNA, 332 nt
Filed under: soil metagenome
Description: partial contains 5.8S ribosomal RNA, internal transcribed spacer 2, and large subunit ribosomal RNA
Rfam family: 5.8S ribosomal RNA (bases 1-120)
Source: RNAcentral
GAUGAAGAACGUAGCGAAAUGCGAUAAGUAGUGUGAAUUGCAGAAUUCAGUGAAUCAUCGAAUCUUUGAACGCACAUUGCGCCCUUUGGUAUUCCUUAGGGCAUGCCUGUUCGAGCGUCAUUUAAACCUUCAAGCUAAGCUUGGUGUUGGGUGACAGUCCGCUUCACGGCGGACUCGCCUCAAAAUUAUUGGCGGCCGGUACAUUGGCUUCGAGCGCAGCAGAAACGCGAACUCGGGCCCGUCGUAUUGGCUCCCAGAAGCUAUCUUCACAAUUUUGACCUCGGAUCAGGUAGGGAUACCCGCUGAACUUAAGCAUAUCAAUAAGCGGAGGA